Molecule: long non-coding RNA, 2300 nt
Filed under: Zea mays
Lineage: Eukaryota; Viridiplantae; Streptophyta; Magnoliopsida; Poales; Poaceae
Description: long non-coding RNA (ZMAY_LNC000410)
Source: RNAcentral
AGAGGACACUUGCCUUCACCAAACAAAUGCUCAGGGUCUUCAUCCUCGUAGAACUCGAAGAGUUCGAUCACUUGGUCACCAACGCUUGAUCUUCGAUUCCUCGAAGCUCAGGAAUAGAUCGCAAUCUAUCUGCGACGCAAAGCGAAGAUAAACAGACACAAGCAAACAAACAUAUAUAUAUGCAUAAGAACAUUACACCAUACAAGAUAAAACAUUAUGGAAACGAGGAAUAUAAAAUAGAGAGCGCUUCUACGGUUACGCGAGGAUAAGAAACACGACGGUCAAGCUACAGUCGAGAAGUUAUCGCGUUUAUGUUAAACAGAUAUUAACUAUAAUGUUUAAUUCGACAAUAUCAAAUAUAAAUAAUAUCUACUAUUUAGUUUGAUUAAUCUGUUACACUGACAACUGUCAAAUAAAUAAGUAAUUUAAUUAACACAAGGGAUUCUAAGCGUGAUGAAUUUAUGACAAGCGAAAUAACACUACAGCGUGCAAACGACGCGUGGACACGCGCGACAUAGCACGCUGGCGACACACGAAACAGAGCGCGCGACGAGCGCGAACGAGCACGCCACCACGUGCGGAACAGCACACACGAUAGGUGAGAAAACUAAAUAGGUGACACGUUUAUACUAAACAAAUGUUAAAUAAAUAGAAAGGAGUUAAGUUAAUAUUUGUCAUGUCAAUAUUUAUUAUAAAAGCACAAGUGGAGCACCACCCAUUUAAUCUAAUUGGAAUAUUAAUCUAAUAAAUAUUAGUCGAGCAAACCCUAAGUUGAUUAUCUAACAUAUAUAACCUGAAGAAUUAACUUAUUAACAUGAGUGAUUAUAAGCGAAAACAAUUUAUUAUCACGAGCCGACGCCGCUCGACCCGCGGGAUCGACACGCGAGGUACACGCUAACGACGCACGGCAAGGCAAGCGACACGUGUAAAUGGCACACGCGACGCAUGCACACAACGUGUGACAACACAUGCGAAUAGCACGCGCGACACACGCGAACGACGCGUGACAACGCGUACGAACAGCACGCGGACGACGCGACGACGCGUGCGACAUGUAAUAAUCGCUAACAAAUAAUGUGUUUAUAAUAAACAAGUAUUAAAUGAAAAAUGUUUAAAUUGGUAUUAAUCAAGUUAACAUUUAUUUAUAAAAGCGCGAGUUAAAAACUAUAACAUAGUUUUAAUUAGAAGAUCAUUUUAAUAAGUAUCGAAUUAAUAGCUAAUUAAAUAACAUAGACUUGUGACAUGAUGAUAUAAUAUUAUUAAUAUGUUGACGAUAUUGUUAUGAAAUUAACGUAACGCGACAGGGGGUCGUAACAGAUUUAAUAAUGCGCGCGACUGCACGAAACAGAGUAAACGAUGAGCGCGAACGACACGCGGAUUAGCACGUAACCACGUGCAAAAUCGCGCGUGCGAUACGCGAGAUAAACUAAAUAAAAGUCACAUUUAUAUUAAAUGAACAUUAGGGCAAAACGUUUGAGUUACUAUUAAUUACAUUGACAUGGAUUUAUAAAGUGUAAGUUAACUACUAUAAAUUAGUUUAAUUAAAAGAUCUAAUUAAUUAACAUUAGUUAAACAAAAGUAUAAUUAAUUAUUUCAAACGUGUGACAUGGUGAAACAAGAUUACUAACGCGUAGCCGAUGCUCACUCCGCGACGACGACAGACGGCCGGACGAGCUCGUGGCGAAGCACAAGGAUGGCGAGGCUGCUGCUACGCCGGAGCCGCAUAGGGAUGCCGACCGAGCACGAGCGCUGUGCUAGCCGAGCCGGAUGUGCCGGGGUCGCACACGUAGACCGCGCCAUGGGCUCGCGUCGGGAUUGGGCUAGCGGGGUGAUGCGCAGACCGCGCAGAGCGCGGGCAGGACUGCGCUGGCCACGCGACACGAACAAUGGCGGGGCGAGGGAUGGCGAUGAAGCUUCUCCUCGCGGCACCGGCGCACGAAAGGCGAGGGCGAGGCUUGACACAGCGUCGGCGAGCGCGGACAUAAAGGUAGGCACGAAUCUCACCUCGGACGGAAGCUCGACGAAGAUGGUCGCGGCGGGGCUAGCAGCAGCGCUGGUCCGAUCGGCUGCGCGGCAUUCCAAUCGCCGAAACGCGCCUGCAGAGGCCUGAGCAGCACAAGCCAGCGGCGUGGACGCGGCACACCUGCACGCAGAGCCCUGGGAACGGCGCAGCGGGUAUGCGCCAGAGAAAAAAAAGGCGAGAUGAGGGAGAGAGAGAAGGGAGAAGUGGAGUAGUGCAGGCGUGGCACGUUUGGCGGAGGGAGGAUGGAGCAGUUCGCGCAUGCAUGCAGGGAGCUGAG